GAUGAACGCUGGCGGCGUGCUUAACACAUGCAAGUCGAACGGAAAGGCUCCUGCUUGCAGGGGUACUCGAGUGGCGAACGGGUGAGUAACACGUGGGUGAUCUGCCCUGCACUUCGGGAUAAGCCUGGGAAACUGGGUCUAAUACCGGAUAGGACGAUGGUUUGGAUGCCAUUGUGGAAAGUUUUUCGGUGUGGGAUGAGCUCGCGGCCUAUCAGCUUGUUGGUGGGGUAAUGGCCUACGAAGGCGUCGACGGAUAGCCGGCCUGAGAGGGUGUACGGCCACAUUGGGACUGAGAUACGGCCCAGACUCCUACGGGAGGCAGCAGUGGGGAAUAUUGCACAAUGGGCGCAAGCCUGAUGCAGCGACGCCGCGUGGGGGAUGACGGCCUUCUGGUUGUAAACUCCUUUCGCUAGGGACGAAGCGCGAGUGACGGUGCCUGGAGAAGAAGCACCGGCUAACUACGUG
This 465-nucleotide ribosomal RNA is filed under the name uncultured bacterium. Its description in RNAcentral is "partial 16S ribosomal RNA". It matches the Rfam family "Bacterial small subunit ribosomal RNA", at positions 28 to 507 of the family's 1533-position model. The record is from RNAcentral.